GGUCUGGUGGCCUAGUGGUUAAAGCAUCCUCUUGAGAUGCAGGUGGUUGUGGGAUCGAUCCCCCUGCCGAAUCA
This is a non-coding RNA of Potamilus streckersoni, 74 nucleotides long. NCBI's taxonomy places the organism in Eukaryota, Metazoa, Mollusca, Bivalvia, Unionida, Unionidae. The record is from the annotation of a GenBank genome assembly.